GACGAACGCUGGCGGCGUGCUUAACACAUGCAAGUCGAACGGGCCCGCCCCUGUUUUUGGGGGUGGUUUGAGUGGCGAACGGGUGAGUAUCACGUGAGUAACCUGCCCCCUGCUCCUGGAUAACUGCUUGAAAGGGCGGCUAAUACGGGGUGUGCCGGCUGGUCCGCAUGGGCCUGGUCGGGAUAGUUUCAUCUUCGGGUGUUUCGGUGGGGGAUGGGCUCGCGGCCUAUCAGCUUGUUGGUGGGGUGAUGGCCCACCAAGGCGGUGACGGGUAGCCGGCCUGAGAGGGUGGGCGGCCACACUGGGACUGAGACACGGCCCAGACUCCUGCGGGAGGCAGCAGUGGGGGGUAUUGCACAAUGGGCGGAAGCCUGAUGCAGCGACGUCGCGUGAGGGAUGGGGGCCUUCGGGUUGUGAACCUCUUUCUCCGGUGGUGAAGGCCCUGUCCGUUGCGGCGGGGUUGACGGUAGCCGGGUAUGAAGCGCCGGCUAACUACGUG
Molecule: ribosomal RNA, 499 nt
Filed under: uncultured bacterium
Lineage: Bacteria
Description: partial 16S ribosomal RNA
Rfam family: Bacterial small subunit ribosomal RNA
Source: RNAcentral